This 629-nucleotide unclassified non-coding RNA is filed under the name Hevea brasiliensis (rubber tree). Lineage: Eukaryota; Viridiplantae; Streptophyta; Magnoliopsida; Malpighiales; Euphorbiaceae. The record is from RNAcentral.
CCCCAUAUAAACCCUUUCCACCUUACAUUUCUCACCGACCACGUGAUACCUUAUUACGCCUUUUUUCUCUCUUAGAACCGAAACCGAAACAAGUACCCAUUGAUUUUUGUACCUUAACAAAUGGUUCCUGAAGAAGAAAAAUCUCCAAAAUCGCCUCGUAAACCUUCCGAUUCAUCUUCUACGUCGGAAUCGGAGGCGACUCCAUCCUUGUUACAGCCAUUGAUGGGUUCUCGACUGUUCCCUACUAUGGAGGAUUUGAGCUACUCUGAGUCUCCUUUAUCUGCGCCGAUCCCUUAUCCUUUAAUGGAAUUCGGAGCAUUCUCUGUCAUAGAACAAUCAGUUUAUUCUCCUUCGGAGAUUUUUGAAUUCAAAACAAAUCCUAUAUCUGAAACUGAAAGAGCCCCUACUGAACUAGCUAGUGGAGUAUAUACAGGUGAUUACGCGGAGGAGAACAUUGGGAUGCCUCAUCCUCUUGCCAGCUUACAGGAGAAUCCUAUGCCGCCGUUUCUCUCGAAAACUUAUGAUCUGGUAAACGAUCGGACGCUGGACCCGAUAAUCUCGUGGGGGACCACAGGGGAAAGCUUUGUGGUGUGGGACCCAGUGGAAUUCGCUAGGGUCAUACUGCCUCG